Molecule: long non-coding RNA, 1816 nt
Organism: Capra hircus (goat)
Lineage: Eukaryota; Metazoa; Chordata; Mammalia; Artiodactyla; Bovidae
Exons: 4
Source: RefSeq, a predicted model, not a curated record
GUCCAAUGAACCAGGAGUGAAGUUGUCAGGAUUAGCAGGAACUCCUCGUCACAGUUCAGGGAGCCAGAAGUCUGAGGCUGAAAGACCAGAGCAAGAGAUCAGAGGGCACAUGGGCAAGGGCGGCCAGGAACCCGGUAAGAUGGGCAGAGACUUGCUUCUCAAGCAGGGGCAGCUCUGAUGGAAGAUAAGCUGUGGAGAGCCUCCGCUUGGCCACAGGAAUAAGCCAGACAAAGCAAGAGUGCCUUUUAUCGGUUUGGGCAUCCAGCCCGUCAUCAAACUACAAAGUGCUGAGCUCCACCUUUGUCUCAAGAGUCAUGGCACACGAUCAAGGCCCACAGCAGUCAGCGUGCCACAUUCCUUUUGCGUCGUGAUUGGCCAAAAGUGAGCAAGUGAUUAAGCCAGUGGCCUCCACCCAAGUAUAAGCUCCAUGGAGGAAACAUCCAUUCUGCUCACUACUGCAGCCACCGUGCCUAUCAUGGACCACACAUCCAGUACAGAUUUGUCGAGUGGAUGAAUAGAGAACUGGUUAUUCUUCAUUUGCUGCUAUUUGGUUCAUUCUGCACAGGGAGGCUGACCUGUACAGAUUUCAGACUUGGCGCUGGCUGGCUUCUGAGUCUGAGCAGAGGGCUGUACCAGCAGAUCAGAGAGAAAGAGAAGAGAGGCAUCAGGCUGCCUGCCUCCUGACUUAGGAGCUGACCAUAACUCCUAAGGGAUGGCAGCUCUGGAACAAGCUGGCCCUAGGCGUGGUCAUCGCUUCCCACUGUUGCUAGUUUCUGAAUGUCUCUGCGUGACUUAAAAUUUUUUUUACUGUGCCCACAACUCUGUGAGUAGUUCUCCUUUGACCCUAGCUGUAACAGAUAGAGAUAAGUUUUAAGUCUAUUGUCCAAGCAGCAGGGAGGAAGGGCCUGAACAGGGGAGACACUCAGAAAAGAAAGAUGGGGAUAGAUUAUGAUAAAUAAGCUCAACAAACUUUAGUAACCGAGUCCACAGAUGAACUAUACUUUCUGACAGCAGGCAUUAUAUUUCACUUGUUCUUUAUGUCGAUGCCUAGCUUGUAGUAGGUACUCAGUAAAUGUUGGUGAAAUGAUUGACUGGAAGGGUCAAAGACGAUUUCGUAUUUCAAUCUUGGGUGAUUCCCCUUAAAGAGAGGAAAAGUCUGAUUAAUUUGCAAGCAGUAGUUAAAGUACCAGCAAGAAAGACACAGAAUGAUACUGAAGAAAGAGUAUGGCCCCGAAAUCCAACUUUCCUACUUGAUCUUGGGUAAAUGAUUUGAGAUCCUUCUUUGAGACUGUUUCAUUAUUUGUAAAAUGGGAAUAAAAAUCCCCAACUGACAGUGCUGCCAAGAGGAAUACUUGAGAUCAUAUGUAUAGAGCAUAUAUCCGCCCUGAAAGGGCCCUUCACCUUCACAGCAUAUACUGAGAUGUGACGCAGAGAUCCAGAAACACCAGGGACCAUUCACAGGGUUUGCCUUUGAAGUUGCUCCUUGUCACCAUAAACCAAGCCCUUAGUUGCCUGUGUGUGUUAUCCUUUUUCCUGGACCCUCGCUGCGGAUUUUUAAACUCUUACUUCCACCUGCAUUUUGUGUGAUUCUACAGGGUUACAACGUGUGCUCUCGACUCCGGACUCCCUCAGGGUGGACAUGAGCCUUCCUCCUUGUGUUGUGUUUUCACUUUGAGCCCUUGAGUUAAGACCAUCAGGAAUACACUGACCCUGUAGCAGAGAUGGAAUUCAGACUGGAACAUUCCUUUCACCCUUGGUGCCCUCUGUGUCUUCUCUAAAUGUCUCUAGACCAACUCCUAUUGGUCUCAAAGAUAUA